AGUUUCAAGGGCAGGAGCCAAUUGUAUCCCCCUUUGCCUGGCAAAACAAUAAAACUAUUCUUUUUUACGUCACCCAAAACUCUGUCUCUGACAUUCGAUUUUGCACUGCUGCACAGAGACUGAGUUUUUCAUACCACUACCCAGCACAAAGGUGAAUAAAUGAAACCUCAGCAGUUUCCAAGAUACAGCUGUAGUACCCUACUGGUCUCUGAGGUUUUUGGUCUACUAAGGUCAAACCUGCUUGAACUUGCCUGGAUUACAGAGAAGAGCACCAUCUGAGUGGAGUGUGGGGGAAGGGCACUCUCCUCACUUAGAAUAAGCCUGAGAGGAUUUGGAAGCACUCAGACAGCUCACCUCACCUGAAGUAGCAAAACAUCACCAAAGAGAGGACAGUUGAUCAGGGCCUAGCAGGAGAACACUGGCAAUGCUCUAGAGGAAGAGGAGAAAAUCUCAGACUCUGAGGCACAAAAGUAAGACCUUAGAAAUCUUUCUGGUUUCAGAAGACUUGCAUGCUAAGUAUAUGCCUGGAACUCACAGUGGUGUGCCAAAGGAGGGACAAGAGGUGUGGCUGACCAGGGAGCAACAAUAGAGCAUGCAUUAUCUGGAGAGAAUUUUAAAAACUACUC
This is a long non-coding RNA of Bos taurus (domestic cattle), 626 nucleotides long. The record is from Ensembl. Lineage: Eukaryota; Metazoa; Chordata; Mammalia; Artiodactyla; Bovidae.